This is a long non-coding RNA of Chelonia mydas (Green sea turtle), 1295 nucleotides long. RefSeq lists it as uncharacterized. The record is from RefSeq and is a predicted model, not a curated record. The transcript has 2 exons. Lineage: Eukaryota; Metazoa; Chordata; Testudines; Cheloniidae.
CAACAGGAAAGAAAAUGUGGUUCUGCGGCAAUCCCUGCUUUAGAGUUCCCCGGAACUCAGACAACAGCACGGAGUGUUCCCGGAAAAAGGGUUGGGUACAGGGAGAACAGGAAGUGGAAACGUUGGAAACCUCACAAGAAAACAGUCCUGAAAUUUUCAGAAUGCUUUGAAGACAAAAGAGUUUCAGAUUCAUUUAUUCAGCUAAAUGUGUAAUCAGGUGCUUCUCCAAUCCCACACAUCUUGUUUAUGAACAAUUUGAGACCCAUUUGGUUCUCUCUCCCCACUGGAUUCACAACCAGGCAUUUCCACUGACUUCCUAAGUAGUCAUGAUUUGCAGAACUAUGACAACCAAGAAUUAACUGGUACUAGCCACAGAUUUGUUAUGCUGGUGUCAGAGUGAGAUAUUAAGUCCACUGGCAAUGAAUUUUUGAGGCCAAGUUUUUUCUAACUAGGUGUAUAUGUAAUGAAUUGACUAUUUGGUGUUGGAUUAUAUGUUUGUUCUCUACUGGAUAGAAUCAGAACUUCUCAACUGUGUAUCAUAAACCCUAGGCUCCUAACAGCUAAUGGAGAUUCUCCUUUACCUUAAGUAGUGCAGUCUUGUGUAUUUGGGAAUGAGGAUUUAAAUUUUCUCACUGCUGCUGCCAUGAAGAUCAGAGUGGCCAUGGUGUGCACAUUAGCAAAGGAACUGAUCAUUUAGUUAUUACAGGAUUAUUAUUCCGCAGCACUCCCCUUCCAACUGCUUAUUGGACUGACACUGAAAAUGGUGGUACCACCCAGCCAUACUUCUGAUCAGCAGCAAGGAGGGAAGGGAGAUUGGAGUCCACCUAAUCAGCAGCUUCCAAAGAGGAGGCUAAAAUAUUAAUUCUGUCUCCACUUAUGUCAAGAAACAUUAUUUUGGCAAAAUCAAAUCAGACAACCCCACUGGAAUCAAAGGCAAAGAGCAGAAAUGUGUGUUAAAUAAUCCCAUGAUGGGUGAGAGAAAGAUGAUCCACAGGGAGUGUGUAAAGAAAGAAUGAAAAAGAUAAAGGUUGAACCUUGAGCAGGGUUUCGUUUUAAAGGGUCUAAAACACUGAAGCCUUGUGACACUAUAAAAGUAAAAUGUGAUAUGUGUUUCCUCAUUGGGAUUACGGGUUACUAUUAAAAAUGUCUCUUGUCGCAUAAAGCUAUAGUGUUGGUACUGCAAGGCUAAUGUUUUGUUUUUUUGUUUUUUUUUUUGGGGGGGGGGGGGAGGGAGUAAAUUCCUUCUUUGAGCUGACAGUAAACUUUGUAGCCCUUGUGGUAAACACAGUGGCUUA